AUUGAACGCUGGCGGCAGGCCUAACACAUGCAAGUCGAACGGUAACAGGAAGCAGCUUGCUGCUUCGCUGACGAGUGGCGGACGGGUGAGUAAUGUCUGGGAAGCUGCCUGAUGGAGGGGGAUAACUACUGGAAACGGUAGCUAAUACCGCAUAAUGUCGCAAGACCAAAGAGGGGGACCUUCGGGCCUCUUGCCAUCGGAUGUGCCCAGAUGGGAUUAGCUUGUUGGUGGGGUAACGGCACACCAAGGCGACGAUCCCUAGCUGGUCUGAGAGGAUGACCAGCCACACUGGAACUGAGACACGGUCCAGACUCCUACGGGAGGCAGCAGUGGGGAAUAUUGCACAAUGGGCGCAAGCCUGAUGCAGCCAUGCCGCGUGUAUGAAGAAGGCCUUCGGGUUGUAAAGUACUUUCAGCGGGGAGGAAGGGAGUAAAGUUAAUACCUUUGCUCAUUGACGUUACCCGCAGAAGAAGCACCGGCUAACUCCGUG
Molecule: ribosomal RNA, 490 nt
Filed under: uncultured bacterium
Lineage: Bacteria
Description: partial 16S ribosomal RNA
Rfam family: Bacterial small subunit ribosomal RNA
Source: RNAcentral